RNAcentral lists this ribosomal RNA (1321 nucleotides) under Klebsiella pneumoniae. RNAcentral's name for it is "bacterial LSU rRNA". It matches the Rfam family "Bacterial large subunit ribosomal RNA", at positions 1640 to 2925 of the family's 2925-position model. The record is from RNAcentral. Lineage: Bacteria; Pseudomonadati; Pseudomonadota; Gammaproteobacteria; Enterobacterales; Enterobacteriaceae.
AAUCGUACCCCAAACCGACACAGGUGGUCAGGUAGAGAAUACCAAGGCGCUUGAGAGAACUCGGGUGAAGGAACUAGGCAAAAUGGUGCCGUAACUUCGGGAGAAGGCACGCUGGUGUGUAGGUGAAGUCCCUGCGGAUGGAGCUGAGACCAGUCGAAGAUACCAGCUGGCUGCAACUGUUUAUUAAAAACACAGCACUGUGCAAACACGAAAGUGGACGUAUACGGUGUGACGCCUGCCCGGUGCCGGAAGGUUAAUUGAUGGGGUUAUCCGUAAGGAGAAGCUCUUGAUCGAAGCCCCGGUAAACGGCGGCCGUAACUAUAACGGUCCUAAGGUAGCGAAAUUCCUUGUCGGGUAAGUUCCGACCUGCACGAAUGGCGUAAUGAUGGCCAGGCUGUCUCCACCCGAGACUCAGUGAAAUUGAACUCGCUGUGAAGAUGCAGUGUACCCGCGGCAAGACGGAAAGACCCCGUGAACCUUUACUAUAGCUUGACACUGAACAUUGAGCCUUGAUGUGUAGGAUAGGUGGGAGGCUUUGAAGCGUGGACGCCAGUCUGCGUGGAGCCAACCUUGAAAUACCACCCUUUAAUGUUUGAUGUUCUAACGUUGGCCCCUUACCGGGGUUGCGGACAGUGUCUGGUGGGUAGUUUGACUGGGGCGGUCUCCUCCCAAAGCGUAACGGAGGAGCACGAAGGUUAGCUAAUCCUGGUCGGACAUCAGGAGGUUAGUGCAAUGGCAUAAGCUAGCUUGACUGCGAGCGUGACGGCGCGAGCAGGUGCGAAAGCAGGUCAUAGUGAUCCGGUGGUUCUGAAUGGAAGGGCCAUCGCUCAACGGAUAAAAGGUACUCCGGGGAUAACAGGCUGAUACCGCCCAAGAGUUCAUAUCGACGGCGGUGUUUGGCACCUCGAUGUCGGCUCAUCACAUCCUGGGGCUGAAGUAGGUCCCAAGGGUAUGGCUGUUCGCCAUUUAAAGUGGUACGCGAGCUGGGUUUAGAACGUCGUGAGACAGUUCGGUCCCUAUCUGCCGUGGGCGCUGGAGAAUUGAGGGGGGCUGCUCCUAGUACGAGAGGACCGGAGUGGACGCAUCACUGGUGUUCGGGUUGUCAUGCCAAUGGCACUGCCCGGUAGCUAAAUGCGGAAGAGAUAAGUGCUGAAAGCAUCUAAGCACGAAACUUGCCCCGAGAUGAGUUCUCCCUGAGACUUUAAGUCUCCUGAAGGAACGUUGAAGACGACGACGUUGAUAGGCCGGGUGUGUAAGCGCAGCGAUGCGUUGAGCUAACCGGUACUAAUGAACCGUGAGGCUUAACCUUACAACGCCGAAG